RNAcentral lists this ribosomal RNA (496 nucleotides) under uncultured bacterium. Its description in RNAcentral is "partial 16S ribosomal RNA". It matches the Rfam family "Bacterial small subunit ribosomal RNA", at positions 28 to 507 of the family's 1533-position model. The record is from RNAcentral.
GAUGAACGCUGGCGGCGUGCCUAAUACAUGCAAGUCGAACGCUGAAGGCGGAGCUUGCUCUUUCCGGAUGAUUUGCGAACGGUUGAGUACCGCUUAGGUAACCUGCCUGGUAGCGGGGGUUAACUAUUGAAACCGAUAGCUAUUACCGCUUAACACUCGAUAUUGCAUGAUAUUUGCUUGAAAGUGUCAAUUUCUCCACUACCAGCUGGACCUGCGUUGUAUUAGCUAGUUGGUGAGGUAACGGCCCACCAAGGCGACGAUACAUAGCCGACCGGAGAGGGGGAUCGGCCACACUGGGACGGAGACACGGCCCAGAGGACUACGGGAGGCAGCAGUAGGGAACCGUAGGCAAGGGACGGAAGUCUGACCGAGCAACGCCGCGUGAGAGAAGAAGGGUGUCGGAUCGUAAAGCUCGGUUGUAAGAGGAGAACGAGUGUGAGAGUGGAAAGUUCACACUGUGACGGUAUCUUACCAGAAAGGGACGGCUAACUACGUG